RNAcentral lists this unclassified non-coding RNA (197 nucleotides) under uncultured Strelitziana. Its description in RNAcentral is "sequence contains ITS1". The record is from RNAcentral. Lineage: Eukaryota; Fungi; Ascomycota; Eurotiomycetes; Chaetothyriales.
CCGAGUUAGGGUUUGCCUUUUUAGGUGCCCGACCUCCCAACCCUUUGUCUAUGAUACCUAUUGUUGCUUCGGCGCGCCCGAGGGGUCGUACCCUCGCCUGGACUCGUGCCGGGAGCGUGGCCGCCGAUGGCCCAAUUUAAAACUAUUGAACCCAAAACCUGUCGUCUGAAAACGUUAUGAUUUAUAAUCAAAAACUA